AAGUCGUAACAAGGUUUCCGUAGGUGAACCUGCGGAAGGAUCAUUAAAUGAAAAGCUGGUUUACCAGUAUACGGCCCCUGAGUUUGUUUCUGACAAGCGCCAGGAUCAGUCGUCAUUUAUACCCAUGUUUUUUGCGUACUACUUGUUUCCUUGGUAGGCUUUGCCUACCAUUAGGACCACACAAAACCUUUUGUAAUUGCAGUCAGCGUCAGAAAUAACUUAAUAGUUACAACUUUCAACAACGGAUCUCUUGGUUCUG
This 259-nucleotide unclassified non-coding RNA is filed under the name fungal sp. RNAcentral's name for it is "partial internal transcribed spacer region". The stretch from base 1 to 46 matches the Rfam family "Eukaryotic small subunit ribosomal RNA", at positions 1786 to 1831 of the family's 1831-position model. RNAcentral also lists the same sequence under 1 other name. Lineage: Eukaryota; Fungi. The record is from RNAcentral.